GUGCUCACUUCAGCAGCACAUAUAUUAAAAACUGGAAUGACACAGAGAAGAUUAGUAUGACCCCUGAGCAAAGAUGACAUGAAAAUUCAUGAAGCUUUUCAUAUUUUU
Molecule: small nuclear RNA, 108 nt
Organism: Protobothrops mucrosquamatus (brown spotted pit viper)
Lineage: Eukaryota; Metazoa; Chordata; Lepidosauria; Squamata; Viperidae
Source: RefSeq, a predicted model, not a curated record